Temnothorax curvispinosus is the source of this 657-nucleotide long non-coding RNA. RefSeq lists it as uncharacterized. Lineage: Eukaryota; Metazoa; Arthropoda; Insecta; Hymenoptera; Formicidae. The record is from RefSeq and is a predicted model, not a curated record. The transcript has 4 exons.
GUGAACAUUGAUUAGUGUAUACUGCUUAGAUCGUAAAUUAUACACCAAUCAGUGGACCGUGCAACGUUAUUGACAUAUACGAAAAUUUUUCAUAUGACUGAAAGAAUCGAGUCUCUGGUCAGUAUCGGUCUUUUUCUUGUCAUAUAAUUUUGUACGUUGUUUUAUUGCGUCUCCGGCUAUCUCAACCACAUCGAUUAAAUCUAAGGAUACAAAAGAGGUUUACCGCAACUCACAUUAUUCUGCUGAUGCAGAUAAUUCUCUGUACUCUGCGUAUGUAUUAACGCUGGUGGCAAAGCAUAGAAGUUUCUUCUCUUGUAUUAUUACUUCAUCAAAUAUAAAAAUGAAGAAAUUUGUGCAAUCCAAUGUUAACUGUAAUCAUCAACAAAUGUUAAAGUUGAAAUUGCUUGAUGAAUCAACAAAUGUUAUGUAUAGUAUAGAAGUAGGAAAAGAAGAUUACAAUCGUGCUCAUAAAGAUAAUGAUUUUGCCAACGUGCUUCUGGAGAAAGCGAAAGCAUUACGUUCAAAUUACAAAAACUCUACACCUAGUAACUGUAGUACCUCUCCUGUAGUACCUUCAACAGUUGAUAACAAUAAACCAAGUUGUUCGAAGAGUAGUGUUCAAUACGACAAUACUUCAGAUAUUGAAAACUAUAAUGA